This 203-nucleotide ribosomal RNA is filed under the name uncultured bacterium. RNAcentral's name for it is "partial 16S ribosomal RNA". It matches the Rfam family "Bacterial small subunit ribosomal RNA", at positions 1290 to 1500 of the family's 1533-position model. The record is from RNAcentral.
AGUUCGGAUUGGAGUCUGCAACCCGACUCCAUGAAGCUGGAUUCGCUAGUAAUCGCGCAUCAGCCAUGGCGCGGUGGAUACGUUCCCGGGCCUUGUACACACCGCCCGUCAAGCCAUGGGAGCCGGGAGUGCCUGAAGUGCGUGACCGCAAGGAGCGCCCUAAGGCAAGACCGGUGACUGGGGCUAAGUCGUAACAAGGUACC